AAGGAAUAUUGGUCAAUGGACGCAAGUCUGAACCAGCCAUGCCGCGUGAAGGAUUAAGGUCCUCUGGAUUGUAAACUUCUUUUAUCUGGGACGAAAAAAGGCGAUUCUUCGUCACUUGACGGUACCAGAUGAAUAAGCACCGGCUAACUCCGUGCCAGCAGCCGCGGUAAUACGGAGGGUGCAAGCGUUAUCCGGAUUCACUGGGUUUAAAGGGUGCGUAGGCGGGCAGGUAAGUCAGUGGUGAAAUCCUGGAGCUUAACUCCAGAACUGCCAUUGAUACUAUCUGUCUUGAAUAUUGUGGAGGUAAGCGGAAUAUGUCAUGUAGCGGUGAAAUGCUUAGAUAUGACAUAGAACACCUAUUGCGAAGGCAGCUUACUACGCAUAUAUUGACGCUGAGGCACGAAAGCGUGGGGAUCAAACA
This 421-nucleotide ribosomal RNA is filed under the name uncultured Sediminibacterium sp. RNAcentral's name for it is "bacterial SSU rRNA". It matches the Rfam family "Bacterial small subunit ribosomal RNA", at positions 356 to 774 of the family's 1533-position model. The record is from RNAcentral. Lineage: Bacteria; Pseudomonadati; Bacteroidota; Chitinophagia; Chitinophagales; Chitinophagaceae.